This 690-nucleotide ribosomal RNA is filed under the name uncultured bacterium. RNAcentral describes it as "bacterial SSU rRNA". It matches the Rfam family "Bacterial small subunit ribosomal RNA", at positions 826 to 1502 of the family's 1533-position model. The record is from RNAcentral.
GGGGUAAUCGAACCCUUUCUGUGCGCAGUUAAACACCAAAUAAGCAAUUCCCGCCUGGGGAGUGCGGGCCGCAAGGGUUGAAAACUCAAAGGGAAUUGACGGGGGGCCCGCACAAGCAGCGGAGCAUGUGGUUUUAAUUCGACGCAACGCGAAGAACCUUACCAGGUCUUGACAUCCACUUAAUCCCAUAGAGAUAUGGAGUGAGCUUGCUCAAAGUGAGACAGGGUGGUGCAUGGUUGUCGUCAGCUCGUGUCGUGAGAUGUUGGGUUAAGUCCCGCAACGAGCGCAACCCUUAUUUUCAGUUACUAACACGUAAUGGUGAGGACUCUGAAGAGACUGCCGGGGACAACUCGGAGGAAGGUGGGGACGACGUCAAAUCAUCAUGCCCCUUAUGACCUGGGCUACACACGUGCUACAAUGGCCACCACAGAGAGGGGCGAACCUGCAAGGGGGAGCGGAUCUCAAAAAAGUGGUCCCAGUUCGGAUUGUGGGCUGCAACCCGCCCACAUGAAGUCGGAGUUGCUAGUAAUCGCGGAUCAGCAUGCCGCGGUGAAUACGUUCCCGGGCCUUGUACACACCGCCCGUCACACCAUGGGAGUUGGGAGUGCCCAAAGUCGGUGAGGUAACCGCAAGGAGCCAGCCGCCUAAGGCAAGACCAAUGACUGGGGUGAAGUCGUAACAAGGUAGCCG